CUUGCUGGUCUCGAGAACUGAAUAGCUAGUCCUUCUCAAGAUCAGGUCGGACUCUACAAAGAGUCCUUAGAAGCCAACCUUAAGUUGCCUCUUCACUUUUUUAUUGUAGAACUCCUUAGAGCUUUUCAAAUAGCUCCCUAUAGCAUGGCACCAAACCCAUGAUGCCUCAUAGUGGCUUUUCUUUCCCAUUAUUUUCUCCUCGGUGCUGAACCGAUCAUUCGUCUCUUCCAAGUAUGUUUCUCAUUUAAGGAAUACCCAAGGAGGUCGGAUGGUGGUAUGCAUCUCCUUAAAUGGGACAGUACCUCUUCUAAGAUGCUCCUUCCUUGAGCCAUAGUUGGAAUGAGCACUAUUUUUUUGUUUCAACCGAGCAGUCUUGAGAUUUUGAUACUUCAGGAGAUCAACCUUGGAGGCCAUCAAAUAAGGCUC
RNAcentral lists this long non-coding RNA (426 nucleotides) under Elaeis guineensis (African oil palm). Its description in RNAcentral is "long non-coding RNA (EGUI_LNC052287)". The record is from RNAcentral. Lineage: Eukaryota; Viridiplantae; Streptophyta; Magnoliopsida; Arecales; Arecaceae.